Molecule: ribosomal RNA, 454 nt
Filed under: uncultured bacterium
Lineage: Bacteria
Description: partial 16S ribosomal RNA
Rfam family: Bacterial small subunit ribosomal RNA
Source: RNAcentral
ACGGGAGGCAGCAGUGAGGAAUAUUGGUCAAUGGGCGGAAGCCUGAACCAGCCAAGUCGCGUGAAGGAUGAAGGUAUUAUGUAUUGUAAACUUCUUUAGCAGUGGAGUAAUAAGGAGGAUGUAUCCUCUGAUGCAAGUGCACUGAGAAUAAGGAUCGGCUAACUCCGUGCCAGCAGCCGCGGUAAUACGGAGGACCCGAGCGUUAUCCGGAUUUAUUGGGUUUAAAGGGUGCGCAGGCGGAGGAUUAAGUCAGCGGUGAAAUUUUCAUGCUCAACAUGAAAACUGCCAUUGAUACUGGUCCCCUUGAGAGAUGUCGAGGAGGGCGGAAUGUGAUGUGUAGCGGUGAAAUGCUUAGAUAUGUCACAGAACACCGAUUGCGAAGGCAGCUGUCCAGAGAUCUUCUGACGCUCAGGCACGAAAGCAUGGGUAUCAAACAGGAUUAGAUACCCUGGUA